UGCGAGUCAUUGUAGCAAUACAAGGCAGACGGCUCAGUAACGCGUAGUCAAUCUACCCUAUGGACGGGAAUAACCUCGGGAAACUGAGAAUAAUGCCCGACAGAACAUUAUACCUGGAACGGUUUAUGUUUCAAAUGAUUUAUCGCCGUAGGAUGGGACUGCGGCCUAUCAGUUUGUUGGUGAGGUAAUGGCCCACCAAGACUAUUACAGGUACGGGCUCUGAGAGGAGUAGCCCGGAGAUGGGUACUGAGACACGGACCCAGGCCCUAUGGGGCGCAGCAGGCGAGAAAACUUUGCAAUGUGCGAAAGCACGACAAGGUUAAUCCGAGUGGUUUCUGCUAAAGAAACCUUUUGCUAGUCCUAGAAACACUAGUGAAUAAGGGGUGGGCAAGUUCUGGUGUCAGCCGCCGCGGUAAAAUCAGCACCUCAAGUGGUCAGGAUGAUUAUUGGGCCUAAAGCAUCCGUAGCUCGUUUUGUAAGUUUUCGGUUAAAUCCAUACGCUUAACGUAUGGGCUGCCGGGAAUACUGCAUAACUAGGAAGUGGGAGAGGUAGACGGUACUCGGUAGGAAGGGGUAAAAUCCUUUGAUCUAUUGAUGACCACCUGUGGCGAAGGCGGUCUACCAGAACACGUUCGACGGUGAGGGAUGAAAGCUGGGGGAGCAAACCGGAUUAGAUACCCGGGUAGUCCCAGCUGUAAACUAUGCAAACUCAGUGAUGCAUUGGCUUGUGGCCAAUGCAGUGCUGCAGGGAAGCCGUUAAGUUUGCCGCCUGGGAAGUACGUACGCAAGUAUGAAACUUAAAGGAAUUGGCGGGGGAGCACCACAAGGGGUGAAGCCUGCGGU
RNAcentral lists this ribosomal RNA (843 nucleotides) under uncultured archaeon. RNAcentral describes it as "bacterial SSU rRNA". It matches the Rfam family "Archaeal small subunit ribosomal RNA", at positions 52 to 901 of the family's 1478-position model. The record is from RNAcentral.